Nycticebus coucang (slow loris) is the source of this 131-nucleotide non-coding RNA. The record is from RefSeq and is a predicted model, not a curated record. NCBI's taxonomy places the organism in Eukaryota, Metazoa, Chordata, Mammalia, Primates, Lorisidae.
GGCCUCUCUCCCAUGAAAUUGUGGGGGAUCCCCUUCCUCCUCCACCAAGGCUAAACCCAACAACAGCCCUCCCAGAUCAGCGUCACGACUGCUGCAAGUGGAGCAGCCUUAUUCUCCUACCUCAGACCUUU